RNAcentral lists this ribosomal RNA (422 nucleotides) under uncultured bacterium. RNAcentral's name for it is "bacterial SSU rRNA". It matches the Rfam family "Bacterial small subunit ribosomal RNA", at positions 355 to 774 of the family's 1533-position model. The record is from RNAcentral.
UGAGGAAUAUUGGACAAUGGGCGCAAGCCUGAUCCAGCCAUGCCGCGUGCAGGAAGAAGCAUCUAUGGUGUGUAAACUGCUUUUGUACGGGAAGAAACACUCCUUCGUGAAGGAGCUUGACGGUACCGUAAGAAUAAGGAUCGGCUAACUCCGUGCCAGCAGCCGCGGUAAUACGGAGGAUCCAAGCGUUAUCCGGAAUCAUUGGGUUUAAAGGGUCCGUAUGCGGUUCAGUAAGUCAGUGGUGAAAGCCCAUCGCUCAACGAUGGAACGGCCAUUGAUACUGCUAGACUUGAAUUAUUAGGAGGUAACUAGAAUAUGUAGUGUAGCGGUGAAAUGCUUAGAUAUAACAUGGAAUACCAAUUGCGAAGGCAGGUUACUACAAAUGGAUUGACGCUGAUGGACGAAAGCGUGGGGGGCGAACA